UACGUAGGGAGCAAGCGUUGUCCGGAAUCAUUGGGCGUAAAGCGCGCGUAGGCGGCCCUGUAAGUCCGUUGUGAAAGUCAAAGGCUCAACCUUUGAAAGCCGAUGGAUACUGCAGGGCUAGAGUCCGGAAGAGGCGAGUGGAAUUCCUGGUGUAGCGGUGGAAUGCGCAGAUAUCAGGAGGAACACCAAGAGCGAAGGCAGCUCGCUGGGACGGUACUGACGCUAAGGCGCGAAAGCGUGGGGAGCGAACAGG
RNAcentral lists this ribosomal RNA (253 nucleotides) under uncultured bacterium. RNAcentral describes it as "partial 16S ribosomal RNA". It matches the Rfam family "Bacterial small subunit ribosomal RNA", at positions 524 to 776 of the family's 1533-position model. The record is from RNAcentral.